RNAcentral lists this ribosomal RNA (445 nucleotides) under uncultured bacterium. RNAcentral describes it as "SSU rRNA". It matches the Rfam family "Bacterial small subunit ribosomal RNA", at positions 26 to 518 of the family's 1533-position model. The record is from RNAcentral.
AGAGCGAACGCUGGCGGCAGGCCUAACACAUGCAAGUCGAGCGCCCGUAGCAAUACGGGAGCGGCAGACGGGAUAGUAACACGUGGGAACGCGCCCUUCGGUUCGGAAUAACUCAGGGAAACUUGAGCUAAUACCGGAUACGCCCUUACGGGGAAAGAUUUAUUGCCGAAGGAACGGCCCGCGUCCGAUUAGCUAGUUGGUGAGGUAAUGGCUCACCAAGGCGACGAUCGGUAGCUGGUCUGAGAGGAUGACCAGCAUCACUGGGACUGAGACACGGCUCAGACUCCUACGGGAGGCAGCAGUGGGGAAUAUUGGACAAUGGGCGCAAGCCUGAUCCAGCCAUGCCGCGUGGAUGAUGAAGGCCUUAGGGUUGUAAAGUCCUUUAACGGGGAAGAUAAUGACGGUACCGUAGAAUAAGCCCGGCUAACUUCGUGCCAGCAGCCGC